RNAcentral lists this non-coding RNA (49 nucleotides) under Trypanosoma lewisi. Lineage: Eukaryota; Euglenozoa; Kinetoplastea; Trypanosomatida; Trypanosomatidae. The record is from RNAcentral.
AUUGUAUACCUAAUGGAUGAGAUAGAACACUACUCAGGUUGUUGAAUGG